This 253-nucleotide ribosomal RNA is filed under the name uncultured bacterium. Its description in RNAcentral is "partial 16S ribosomal RNA". It matches the Rfam family "Bacterial small subunit ribosomal RNA", at positions 524 to 776 of the family's 1533-position model. The record is from RNAcentral.
UACGGAGGGGGCUAGCGUUAUUCGGAAUCAUUGGGCGUAAAGAGCGUGUCGGCGGUCCGGUAAGUCCGCUGUAAAAGUCAAGGGCUCAACCCUUGAAAGCCGGUGGAUACUGCCGGGCUAGAGUCCGGAAGAGGCGAGUGGAACUCCUGGUGUAGCGGUGAAAUGCGCAGAUAUCAGGAAGAACACCUACGGCGAAGGCAGCUCGCUGGGACGGUACUGACGCUGAGACGCGAAAGCGUGGGGAGCGAACAGG